Molecule: ribosomal RNA, 194 nt
Filed under: Corynebacterium diphtheriae
Lineage: Bacteria; Bacillati; Actinomycetota; Actinomycetes; Mycobacteriales; Corynebacteriaceae
Description: partial 16S ribosomal RNA
Rfam family: Bacterial small subunit ribosomal RNA
Source: RNAcentral
UUUUUUUAUGGAGAGUUUGAUCCUGGCUCAGGACGAACGCUGGCGGCGUGCUUAACACAUGCAAGUCGAACGGAAAGGCCUAGCUUGCUAGGUACUCGAGUGGCGAACGGGUGAGUAACACGUGGGUGAUCUGCCUCGUACUUCGGGAUAAGCCUGGGAAACUGGGUCUAAUACUGGAUAGGACCAUGCUUUAG